GCUUAACACAUGCAAGUCGAGGGGCAGCAUGGUCUUAGCUUGCUAAGGCCGAUGGCGACCGGCGCACGGGUGAGUAACACGUAUCCAACCUGCCGUCUACUCUUGGACAGCCUUCUGAAAGGAAGAUUAAUACAAGAUGGCAUCAUGAGUCCACAUGUUCACAUGAUUAAAGGUAUUCCGGUAGACGAUGGGGAUGCGUUCCAUUAGAUAGUAGGCGGGGUAACGGCCCACCUAGUCUUCGAUGGAUAGGGGUUCUGAGAGGAAGGUCCCCCACAUUGGAACUGAGACACGGUCCAAACUCCUACGGGAGGCAGCAGUGAGGAAUAUUGGUCAAUGGGCGAGAGCCUGAACCAGCCAAGUAGCGUGAAGGAUGACUGCCCUAUGGGUUGUAAACUUCUUUUAUAAAGGAAUAAAGUCGGGUAUGCAUACCCGUUUGCAUGUACUUUAUGAAUAAGGAUCGGCUAACUCCGUGCCAGCAGCCGCGGUAAUACGGAGGAUCCGAGCGUUAUCCGGAUUUAUUGGGUUUAAAGGGAGCGUAGAUGGAUGUUUAAGUCAGUUGUGAAAGUUUGCGGCUCAACCGUAAAAUUGCAGUUGAUACUGGAUAUCUUGAGUGCAGUUGAGGCAGGCGGAAUUCGUGGUGUAGCGGUGAAAUGCUUAGAUAUCACGAAGAACUCCGAUUGCGAAGGCAGCCUGCUAAGCUGCAACUGACAUUGAGGCUCGAAAGUGUGGGUAUCAAACAGGAUUAGAUACCCUGGUAGUCCACACGGUAAACGAUGAAUACUCGCUGUUUGCGAUAUACAGCAAGCGGCCAAGCGAAAGCGUUAAGUAUUCCACCUGGGGAGUACGCCGGCAACGGUGAAACUCAAAGGAAUCGACGGGGGCCCGCACAAGCGGAGGAACAUGUGGUUUAAUUCGAUGAUACGCGAGGAACCUUACCCGGGCUUAAAUUGCAGAUGAAUUACGGUGAAAGCCGUAAGCCGCAAGGCAUCUGUGAAGGUGCUGCAUGGUUGUCGUCAGCUCGUGCCGUGAGGUGUCGGCUUAAGUGCCAUAACGAGCGCAACCCUUGUUGUCAGUUACUAACAGGUCAUGCUGAGGACUCUGACAAGACUGCCAUCGUAAGAUGUGAGGAAGGAGGGGAUGACGUCAAAUCAGCACGGCCCUUACGUCCGGGGCUACACACGUGUUACAAUGGGGGGUACAGAGGGCCGCUACCACGCGAGUGGAUGCCAAUCCCAAAAACCUCUCUCAGUUCGGACUGGAGUCUGCAACCCGACUCCACGAAGCUGGAUUCGCUAGUAAUCGCGCAUCAGCCACGGCGCGGUGAAUACGUUCCCGGGCCUUGUACACACCGCCCGUCAAGCCAUGGGAGCCGGGGGUACCUGAAGUGCGUAACCGCGAGGAGCGCCCUAGGGUAAAACUGGUGACUGGGGCUAAGA
RNAcentral lists this ribosomal RNA (1436 nucleotides) under uncultured organism. Its description in RNAcentral is "SSU rRNA". It matches the Rfam family "Bacterial small subunit ribosomal RNA". The record is from RNAcentral.